GAUGAACGCUGGCGGCGUGCCUAAUACAUGCAAGUAGAGCGCACGGACGAGAAGCUUGCUUUUCUGAUGUUAUCGGCGGACGGGAGAGUAACACGUGGAUAACCUACCUAUAAGACUGGGAUAACUUCGGGAAACCGGAGCUAAUACCGGAUAAUAUUUUGAACCGCAUGGUUCAAAAGUGAAAGACGAUCUUGCUGUCACUUAUAGAUGGAUCCUCGUUGCAUUAGCUAGUUGGUAAGGUAACGGCUUACGAAGGCAACGAUGCAUAGCCGACCGGGGAGGGGGAUCGGCCACACUGGAACUGAGACACGGCCCAGACCCCUACGGGAGGCACAAGUAGGGAAUUUCCGGAAAGGGGGGAAAGCUUGACGGAGCAACGCGGCGUGAUUGAGGAGGUUUUUCGGUUCGUAAACCUCUGUUAUAAGGGAGGACGAGUUGUGUAAUUAACUGUUCACACUGUGACGGUAUCUAAUCAGAAAGCCACGGCUAACUACGUG
RNAcentral lists this ribosomal RNA (497 nucleotides) under uncultured bacterium. Its description in RNAcentral is "partial 16S ribosomal RNA". It matches the Rfam family "Bacterial small subunit ribosomal RNA", at positions 28 to 507 of the family's 1533-position model. The record is from RNAcentral.